RNAcentral lists this ribosomal RNA (194 nucleotides) under uncultured Petrimonas sp. Its description in RNAcentral is "partial 16S ribosomal RNA". It matches the Rfam family "Bacterial small subunit ribosomal RNA", at positions 334 to 525 of the family's 1533-position model. Lineage: Bacteria; Pseudomonadati; Bacteroidota; Bacteroidia; Bacteroidales; Dysgonomonadaceae. The record is from RNAcentral.
UACUCCUACGGGAGGCAGCAGUGAGGAAUAUUGGUCAAUGGGGGCAACCCUGAACCAGCCAAGUCGCGUGAAGGAUGAAGGUCUUAUGGAUUGUAAACUUCUUUUAUACAGGAAUAAAUUGGGGGACGUGUCCCCUUUUGCAUGUACUGUAUGAAUAAGGAUCGGCUAACUCCGUGCCAGCAGCCGCGGUAAUA